This 425-nucleotide ribosomal RNA is filed under the name uncultured prokaryote. RNAcentral describes it as "bacterial SSU rRNA". It matches the Rfam family "Bacterial small subunit ribosomal RNA", at positions 960 to 1386 of the family's 1533-position model. The record is from RNAcentral.
CGCGAAGAACCUUACCAGAUCUUGACAUCCUCGGAAAGUUAUAGAGAUAUGACAGUGCCUUAGGGAACCGAGAGACAGGUGGUGCAUGGCUGUCGACAGCUCGUGUUGUGAGAUGUUGGGUUAAGUCCCGCAACGAGCGAAACCCCUAUCAUUAGUUACCAUCAUUAAGUUGGGGACUCUAAUGAAACUGCCUGCGAAGAGCAGGAGGAAGGUGGGGAUGACGUCAAGUCAUCAUGCCCCUUAUGAUCUGGGCUACACACGUGCUACAAUGGGUAGUACAAAGAGAGGCGAAAUGGCGACAUGGAGCAAAACUAGAAAGCUACUCUAAGUUCGGAUUGAAGUCUGCAACUCGACUUCAUGAAGCUGGAAUCACUAGUAAUCGCAAAUCAGCAAUGUUGCGGUGAAUACGUUCUCGGGUCUUGUAC